This 775-nucleotide ribosomal RNA is filed under the name uncultured Neocallimastigales. RNAcentral's name for it is "partial large subunit ribosomal RNA". It matches the Rfam family "Eukaryotic large subunit ribosomal RNA", at positions 23 to 616 of the family's 3401-position model. The record is from RNAcentral. Lineage: Eukaryota; Fungi; Neocallimastigomycota; Neocallimastigomycetes; Neocallimastigales.
AGAGAGAGACAUGCGCGCAUAUCAAUAAGCGGAGGAAAAGAAACUAACAAGGAUUCCCCUAGUAACGGCGAGUGAAGCGGGAAGAGCUCAAAUUUGAAAUCUUAAAGGGUUUCCCUUUACGAAUUGUAGUUUAAAGAAGUGUUUUCUGUUGAGGUUUUGGUAAAAGUUCUUUGGAAUAGGACAUCAUAGAGGGUGAGAAUCCCGUAUUUGACCUUUACUUUCAACUUUGUGAUACACUUUCAAAGAGUCGGAUUGUUUGGGAAUGCAGUCCAAAAUGGGUGGUAAAUUUCAUCUAAAGCUAAAUAUUGGCGAGAGACCGAUAGCGAACAAGUACCGUGAGGGAAAGAUGAAAAGAACUUUGAAAAGAGAGUUAAACAGUACGUGAAAUUGAUCAAAAGGGAAGCGUUUGACACCAGUGUUGUUUUCCUGAAAAUCAAUUAAAGAACUGUUUAUGCUAAGCUGUUUAGACUUUAUCAGCUAACUGUUUAGUUUUGAGCUUUUCUUUAAUGCACUUUUCAGUUAACAAGUCAACAUCAAUUUCUUUUGCUGUAAGAAAGCUUGAGGAAGGUGGCUUGAGAUUCGUCUUAAGUGUUUAUAGCCUCUUGCCUAUGCAGUCGGAGAGAUUGAGGUCUGCAGCGUAGAUCCUUCGGGGCUAAAUGCAUUUGUGCUAAGUUAUAGCCUUUCAUAGACAACUUGUUGACUAUGAUCAGUCAUGUAGCUUACUCGCUUAUGUUAUUUUACCUACGCUUAGGAUGUUGAGCGCAUGUCUCUCUCU